UAGCACAUCUCUAUAGCGUUUUUCUCGUAAAUGCUAUAAUUGCUCUUUAUAUCGUUUCCAAAUAAUAAAUCCAAAAAUAAAACGCUAUAACAUUGAAAUUUAUUGCGCUCAUUUUCCCGGGUCUCUAAAUAAAAUAUAUUAUGAGUGAAACAAAGCCCUAAACUCCGUUCCACCUCCCAAGGAUAAUCGUCUAAAAUUGAAACCCUCCAUUUCUCUCAAAUGUCGGUCUGCCGGCAAAACGCAAUCUUCGAUCCCAUCUCCACCACGAAUUUGUGAAUUUAUGUAUCGUCCCCUCUCAAAAUCGACCUCCUGGCGCACGGUUGUAUCCCUUUUCAAUCAGUAUUGGGGACGUUAUGCAAUACUAAAGACAGUGCAAAAGAGUUUGAUAAUAAUUAAAAAAAUGUUUUUCUUGAGUGGUAGCACAGCCUUGCAAGGUGGGCUUUCUAAGACAAUAUAGAGGGUGAUGAGGGUGCAUAUUGACUUAGCCGCGAAGCAUUGGACUGAUGUAUCUUUCUUUGUUGAUUAACUUAGACGAAGCAUUAACCUGUGGAAGAAUUUAUCAAUUUGACAUGUUUCCUCAAAGGGUAUAAGCAAGAUCACCACAUCAAGUUUGAUUUAUGGUGCUUAAAUAAGAUGAUCAAGUAUAUUGAAUGUGGUGGAACCAUGGCCAGAAGAUUGAAUUGUUCAUCUGAUGCACAGAGAAACAAGGAAUGGAAGACGAAUUAUGGCGUUCUCAAUUGAAUAUGCUGAAACAAUUGGAAGUGAACACGAUUCUUUUAGUUUUUCGAAAUAACAAUCUAAGUUCAGUUUAUAAGUUUUACUAUACCUAGUGAAGGGUAUCAAAUCGAACAGGAUAUGUACAUAAUUUAUUUUGUUAUUGUGAUAUAAUAUUCUUAGCCGUUCUUGUAUUAUCUUGAGUUUAAUAAAAAUACAUGUUAUUGUAUA
Molecule: long non-coding RNA, 945 nt
Organism: Erythranthe guttata (spotted monkey flower)
Lineage: Eukaryota; Viridiplantae; Streptophyta; Magnoliopsida; Lamiales; Phrymaceae
Source: RefSeq, a predicted model, not a curated record